This 479-nucleotide ribosomal RNA is filed under the name uncultured bacterium. RNAcentral's name for it is "bacterial SSU rRNA". It matches the Rfam family "Bacterial small subunit ribosomal RNA", at positions 9 to 472 of the family's 1533-position model. The record is from RNAcentral.
GAGUUUGAUCGUGGCUCAGAUUGAACGCUGGCGGCGUGCUUAACACAUGCAAGUCGUACGCGAAAGGGACUUCGGUCCCGAGUAAAGUGGCGCACGGGUGAGUAACACGUGGAUAAUCUGCCUCUAUGAUGGGAUAACAGUUGGAAACGACUGCUAAUACCGAAUACGCUCAUGAUGAACUUUAUGAGGAAAGGUGGCCUCUGCUUGCAAGCUAUCGCAUAGAGAUGAGUCCCGCGUCCCAUUAGCUAGUUGGUGGGUAACGGCCUACCAAGGCAACGAUGGGUAGCCGAUCUGAGAGGAUGAUCGGCCACACUGGAACUGAAACACGGUCCAGACUCCUACGGGAGGCAGCAGUGGGGAAUAUUGCGCAAUGGGCGAAAGCCUGACGCAGCGACGCCGCGUGAGGGAUGAAGGUCUUCGGAUCGUAAACCUCUGUCAGAAGGGAAGAAACUAGGGUGCUCUAAUCAUCAUCCUACUGA